CUUCGGCCAGGCAGCGCCUCGAGUUGUCCGCAGCAAGUUUCAGUCAGGGUUCUUUUGAAGACCCUUACCUGGAGUUACAAGUUGACUUCGGUUCUUUGCGGGAAUGGGACCCGCUGUUGGGGUUUCAUGACUGGCCGUUAUUCGACAUGCCAAGGACACGGCCUAAGAGCUUAGCUGGCCUUUGGAGUUUCGAGAUUUCGUGGCUCUGUAGAUGCAGGGCACAGUCACCACAUUCUUUUUCUAGUUGUAUUUCAGAGGAGAUGCUUCUUUGGAUCUCAAGUUUUAUUGCCACUCAUCAUUGCUCCAA
Molecule: long non-coding RNA, 307 nt
Organism: Hypanus sabinus (Atlantic stingray)
Lineage: Eukaryota; Metazoa; Chordata; Chondrichthyes; Myliobatiformes; Dasyatidae
Exons: 3
Source: RefSeq, a predicted model, not a curated record